AGAGACAGCAGUAGCCGCGGUAAUACGUAGGGUGCAAGCGUUAAUCGGAAUUACUGGGCGUAAAGCGUGCGCAGGCGGUUCGCUAAGACAGAUGUGAAAUCCCCGGGCUUAACCUGGGAACUGCAUUUGUGACUGGCGGGCUAGAGUAUGGCAGAGGGGGGUAGAAUUCCACGUGUAGCAGUGAAAUGCGUAGAGAUGUGGAGGAAUACCGAUGGCGAAGGCAGCUCCCUGGGCCAAUACUGACGCUCAUGCACGAAAGCGUGGGGAGCAAACAGGAUUAGAUACCCCUGUAGUCCCUGUCUCUUAUAA
Molecule: ribosomal RNA, 309 nt
Filed under: uncultured bacterium
Lineage: Bacteria
Description: partial 16S ribosomal RNA
Rfam family: Bacterial small subunit ribosomal RNA
Source: RNAcentral